RNAcentral lists this ribosomal RNA (1390 nucleotides) under Leifsonia sp. 5011. RNAcentral describes it as "16S ribosomal RNA". It matches the Rfam family "Bacterial small subunit ribosomal RNA". Lineage: Bacteria; Bacillati; Actinomycetota; Actinomycetes; Micrococcales; Microbacteriaceae. The record is from RNAcentral.
AGUCGAACGGUGAAGAGAAGCUUGCUUCUUGGAUCAGUGGCGAACGGGUGAGUAACACGUGAGCAAUCUGCCCUUGACUCUGGGAUAAGCGUUGGAAACGACGUCUAAUACCGGAUACGACCCUCGGAGGCAUCUCCUGGGGGUGGAAAGAAUUUUGGUCAAGGAUGAGCUCGCGGCCUAUCAGCUAGUUGGUGAGGUAAUGGCUCACCAAGGCGACGACGGGUAGCCGGCCUGAGAGGGUGACCGGCCACACUGGGACUGAGACACGGCCCAGACUCCUACGGGAGGCAGCAGUGGGGAAUAUUGCACAAUGGGCGAAAGCCUGAUGCAGCAACGCCGCGUGAGGGACGAAGGCCUUCGGGUUGUAAACCUCUUUUAGUAGGGAAGAAGCGAAAGUGACGGUACCUGCAGAAAAAGCACCGGCUAACUACGUGCCAGCAGCCGCGGUAAUACGUAGGGUGCAAGCGUUGUCCGGAAUUAUUGGGCGUAAAGAGCUCGUAGGCGGUUUGUCGCGUCUGCUGUGAAAACCCGAGGCUCAACCUCGGGCCUGCAGUGGGUACGGGCAGACUAGAGUGCGGUAGGGGAGAUUGGAAUUCCUGGUGUAGCGGUGGAAUGCGCAGAUAUCAGGAGGAACACCAAUGGCGAAGGCAGAUCUCUGGGCCGUAACUGACGCUGAGGAGCGAAAGCAUGGGGAGCGAACAGGAUUAGAUACCCUGGUAGUCCCAUGCCGUAAACGUUGGGAACUAGAUGUGGGGACCAUUCCACGGUCUCCGUGUCGCAGCUAACGCAUUAAGUUCCCCGCCUGGGGAGUACGGCCGCAAGGCUAAAACUCAAAGGAAUUGACGGGGGCCCGCACAAGCGGCGGAGCAUGCGGAUUAAUUCGAUGCAACGCGAAGAACCUUACCAAGGCUUGACAUAUAGAGGAAACGGCUGGAAACAGUCGCCCCGCAAGGUCUCUAUACAGGUGGUGCAUGGUUGUCGUCAGCUCGUGUCGUGAGAUGUUGGGUUAAGUCCCGCAACGAGCGCAACCCUCGUCCUAUGUUGCCAGCACGUAAUGGUGGGAACUCAUGGGAUACUGCCGGGGUCAACUCGGAGGAAGGUGGGGAUGACGUCAAAUCAUCAUGCCCCUUAUGUCUUGGGCUUCACGCAUGCUACAAUGGCCGGUACAAAGGGCUGCAAUACCGUAAGGUGGAGCGAAUCCCAAAAAGCCGGUCUCAGUUCGGAUUGAGGUCUGCAACUCGACCUCAUGAAGUCGGAGUCGCUAGUAAUCGCAGAUCAGCAACGCUGCGGUGAAUACGUUCCCGGGCCUUGUACACACCGCCCGUCAAGUCAUGAAAGUCGGUAACACCCGAAGCCAGUGGCCUAACCGCAAGGAAGGAGCUGUCGAAGG